UCCUUGAUUCGCAUCCCAGGACUCUCUGGC
RNAcentral lists this non-coding RNA (30 nucleotides) under Rattus norvegicus (Norway rat). The record is from RNAcentral. Lineage: Eukaryota; Metazoa; Chordata; Mammalia; Rodentia; Muridae.